Pan troglodytes (chimpanzee) is the source of this 52-nucleotide microRNA precursor. It matches the Rfam family "mir-1302 microRNA precursor family". NCBI's taxonomy places the organism in Eukaryota, Metazoa, Chordata, Mammalia, Primates, Hominidae. The record is from Rfam.
AUUUAAAUAUAAGUAUGUCCCAUGCAAUAUUUGGGACAUGCUUAUGCUAGAA